Molecule: ribosomal RNA, 495 nt
Filed under: uncultured bacterium
Lineage: Bacteria
Description: partial 16S ribosomal RNA
Rfam family: Bacterial small subunit ribosomal RNA
Source: RNAcentral
GACGAACGCUGGCGGCGUGCCUAAUACAUGCAAGUAGAACGCUGAAGGAGGAGCUUGCUUCUCUGGAUGAGUUGCGAACGGGUGAGUAACGCGUAGGUAACCUGCCUGGUAGCGGGGGAUAACUAUUGGAAACGAUAGCUAAUACCGCAUAAUAGUAGAUGUCGCAUGACAUUUGCUUAAAAGGUGCAAUUGCAUCACUACCAGAUGGACCUGCGUUGUAUUAGCUAGUUGGUGAGGUAACGGCUCACCAAGGCAACGAUACAUAGCCGACCUGAGAGGGUGAUCGGCCACACUGGGACUGAGACACGGCCCAGACGCCUACGGGAGGCAGCAGUAGGGAAUCUUCGGCAAUGGACGGAAGUCUGACCGAGCAACGCCGCGUGAGUGAAGAAGGUUUUCGGAUCGUAAAGCUCUGUUGUAAGAGAAGAACGAGUGUGAGAGUGGAAAGUUCACACUGUGACGGUAUCUUACCAGAAAGGGACGGCUAACUACGUG